UCUCUCUUGCUGGUCAUCCAGUUUCCGAGAUUUGGGAGAAAUGCGUGGGCUGCCAUCAUCAGGUGUUGGGCUGCGCUUCCUACUCUUGGAGGGCAAACCAUUCUUCAGAUCGUGGCUCAGGGACCUCUCCUCAUUCUCCACACUUCGCUCUCUCUUUGGUGGAGGUGAUCUUGAUCGGCUGUAACUUCGACCUCUGCUGUAACUUGGACUGCGGCUUCCGCCACGGCGAGGAGAGUGUGAUCUAGCUGGUGAUCGGGAAUAACUCC
Molecule: unclassified non-coding RNA, 266 nt
Filed under: Hevea brasiliensis (rubber tree)
Lineage: Eukaryota; Viridiplantae; Streptophyta; Magnoliopsida; Malpighiales; Euphorbiaceae
Source: RNAcentral